AGUGAACGCUGGCGGUAGGCCUAACACAUGCAAGUCGAACGGCAGCACAGUAAGAGCUUGCUCUUACGGGUGGCGAGUGGCGGACGGGUGAGGAAUACAUCGGAAUCUACUUUUUCGUGGGGGAUAACGUAGGGAAACUUACGCUAAUACCGCAUACGACCUACGGGUGAAAGCAGGGGAUCUUCUGACCUUGCGCGAUUGAAUGAGCCGAUGUCGGAUUAGCUAGUUGGCGGGGUAAAGGCCCACCAAGGCGACGAUCCGUAGCUGGUCUGAGAGGAUGAUCCGCCACACGGGAACUGAGACACGGUCCAGACUCCUACGGGAGGCCGCAGUGGGGAAUAUUGGACGAUGGGCGCAAGCCUGAUCCAGCCAUACCGCGUGGGUGAAGAAGGCCUUCGGGUUGUAAAGCCCUUUUGUUGGGAAAGAAAAGCAGCAGGUUAAUACCCCGCUGUUCUGACGGUACCCAAAGAAUAAGCACCGGCUAACUUCGUG
Molecule: ribosomal RNA, 492 nt
Filed under: uncultured bacterium
Lineage: Bacteria
Description: partial 16S ribosomal RNA
Rfam family: Bacterial small subunit ribosomal RNA
Source: RNAcentral